UAUUUCGAACUAGCUGAUGCCCGCGACUUCGUUCGCGUGGAUUUAGGGUUUUCAAAAAUCCCGUGGGAACUCUUUGAUUUUCUGGGAUACAAAGUGGCAUAUGUUACUCUUCGGGUUUUUAAUUAUACCCAUG
This is a long non-coding RNA of Maniola jurtina (meadow brown), 133 nucleotides long. RefSeq lists it as uncharacterized. The record is from RefSeq and is a predicted model, not a curated record. The transcript has 3 exons. Lineage: Eukaryota; Metazoa; Arthropoda; Insecta; Lepidoptera; Nymphalidae.